This 295-nucleotide ribosomal RNA is filed under the name uncultured bacterium. RNAcentral describes it as "partial 16S ribosomal RNA". It matches the Rfam family "Bacterial small subunit ribosomal RNA", at positions 28 to 308 of the family's 1533-position model. The record is from RNAcentral.
GACGAACGCUGGCGGCGUGCUUAACACAUGCAAGUCGAGGGAGUCCACCCUUUCGAGGGUGAGGCGACCGGCGGACGGGUGAGUAACACGUAAGUGAUUUAUCCUCAUGCGGGGGAUAACCCGGGGAAACCCGGGCGUAAUACCGCAUGGUCGGACUGGCUGCAUGGCCGGACCGGGAAAGGUGGCCUCUUCAUGAAAGCUACCGCGUGGGGAGAAGCUUGCGGGCUAUCAGCUAGUUGGUGAGGAACGGCUCACCAAGGCAACGACGGCUAGGGGGUCUGAGAGGACCGACCCC